RNAcentral lists this ribosomal RNA (328 nucleotides) under uncultured bacterium. Its description in RNAcentral is "bacterial SSU rRNA". It matches the Rfam family "Bacterial small subunit ribosomal RNA", at positions 568 to 898 of the family's 1533-position model. The record is from RNAcentral.
CGUGUAGGCGGCGCGGUAAGUUGGGCGUGAAAUCCCCGAGCUUAACUCGGGUGGGCCGUUCAAGACUGCCGUGCUAGGGUGCGGGAGAGGGAAGUGGAAUUUCCGGUGUAGCGGUGAAAUGCGUAGAUAUCGGGAGGAACACCUGCGGCGAAGGCGGCUUCCUGGACCGUAACCGACGCUGAGGCGCGAAAGCUAGGGGAGCAAACAGGAUUAGAUACCCUGGUAGUCCUAGCCCUAAACGAUGAGCACUGGGUGUGGCCCCUCACGGGGCCGUGCCGAAGCUAACGCAUUAAGUGCUCCGCCUGGGGAGUACGGUCGCAAGGCUGAA